AUGGACGGUCAUGGAGAUCCCCACUACGGGCGUCACCCUCAAACUCUUGCCCCUACUGAUUCUCGAUACCCCCAGUUUGAGGAACAAGGUAUUCCCCGCAGUCAUGAACCGCCGUCAAAAUGGGCGAGGAAGAAAGCUAAGAUGGAAUGGAGGAGGAAGCGCUAUGGUCAACACAGCGAGGAGGCCGUAGCUCUCGAGCUGGAGCAAGGAGCCAGCCAGCUACAGAAGGAGGACCUCCCCAAAACCACACUAGGUUCUCCCGUCGGCCACACCAUGGGAAGCCAUGGCCAUCCUGAAACACCUCGUGACAUUCAAUACAGCGAGGAGCAAGCUCCUAAUCCGUGGUGGGACGUGAACCUUAAUCGAGGGGGGGGGGGCAAAAGGGAUCAUAGGCAAGACUCUUCGGUUGAUACUGCUAUGUCACCCGCAGCCACGAGAGGACGUAUUCGCCAGAGCCUUCUCUAUUCAGAUCGCCCCAGGAGACCUACAUCAGAUAAGCUACCGGUUGAGGAGCAUGCGGAUGAGGUAAGCAGCAGGGAGUUUGAAGCCCUGACACUUGAUCAAUCACGCCCUACACCUAAGUCAACUCACAGGGUUGAGAAGAAGGCUAGCAAGGUGAGCAGGGGUGAGGGAUCUACAGUUACAGAUCUACCUGAAUUAACUGAUAGGGUUGAGAAGAAUGCUGGCAAGGUGAGCGACAUUGAGGGUCCUGCAGUUAAGGCUCCACCGGUUAAGGAGGAUGCCAGUGAGGUGCGCAGCAGGGAGUUUAAAUCAGUAACACUCGGUCAGUCACUUCCUACAUUUAACCCAACUCAAAGGUCUAGGAAACGUGAUUAUUACGCUGCAGACAGUACGACUCGCUCUGAGAUUUUUGAGGAGAUGCUCGAAGGUGUAUCAGAGCCUUGGGCACAAAAAUGUCGUGAUAUGCGGAAGUACUUGGAAGAACAUACAUACACUUGUAUGGUGGAGGCUAUGAUUGCCGCUGAACAUGGCUUUAGCAACCCGGCCCAGCAUAAACUGGAUGCUGAAGCAUUCUUGGCAUCAGAAGGGGCAUAUGAAGCUCCUGAAGUCCCUGAGUCCUUUGCCUCUACAAGAGAGAAUAUAGCGCAGGCUGAAGUGUCUACGGAAGAAAUCAUUGAGAAUGGUAAAAAGUGGAUGGGUGAGGAAGUCAUGUUGGCUUUUAAGAAGUACAAGGAAGGAAAGAGCCAAUUCAAAGACGUGGUGCAUUAUGGCCUAGAUGAGCUUCAACAUCAGUGCUUCAGCAUGUUGAGCUAUGAUCACACCUUCCAUCACUUCAACUUCACCGUUAAGAUGGAGAAAUCAGGCGGUGAUUCAUCAUCAACGCCCUUUUUUGCUGAGGUGAAAGAGAUCCAUGGAAGAAAAAUAUUAUUCCUGCUACGAACUAAGUUCGUAUGA
Molecule: ribosomal RNA, 1416 nt
Filed under: Triticum aestivum (bread wheat)
Lineage: Eukaryota; Viridiplantae; Streptophyta; Magnoliopsida; Poales; Poaceae
Description: partial small subunit ribosomal RNA
Source: RNAcentral